Molecule: non-coding RNA, 20 nt
Filed under: Rattus norvegicus (Norway rat)
Lineage: Eukaryota; Metazoa; Chordata; Mammalia; Rodentia; Muridae
Source: RNAcentral
CAAUUGAACGAAAUGUGCCA